CAAACGAGACGAAGAGGGUUUAGAGGAAGAGAGAGAAGAGCCAGAAGAGGAACGUAGUCAGGAAUCCUGGAGCCUGGGCGAUGAGAAGGAGAAGAGAUAUAGGCCUACCUAUCGGUACACCCCAAAGAAACACCACAAACGAGACGAAGUGGGUUUAGAAGAAGAGAGAGAAGAGCCAGAAGAGGAACGUAGUCAGGAAUCCUGGAGCCUGGGCGAUGAGAAGGAGAAGAGAUAUAGGCCUACCUAUCGGUACACCCCAAAGAAACACCACAAACGAGAUGAAGAAGACGAAGAGCGCAGUCAAGAGUCCUGGAGUCUGGGUGAUGAGAAAGAAAAGAGAGAGGAGGAUGAUGAGGAAAGAAAAAAGAGGAUCUGGAAACCCACCCAUCGGUACCACCACAAGAAGCACCACAAACGCAGUGAAGAUCCUUCAGAGGAAGAGGAGGAGGAGAAAGAUAAGAGAAUUUGGAAACCCACACACAGAUAUCACCACAAGAAACACCACAAACGAGAUGCUGACUCAUCGGACGAGGAAUCAGAGGAGAAGAGAUCAGAAGAGUCAGAGGAAGAGGAGGAAGAGGAUAGAGAGAAGAGAAUCUGGAAGCCCACACACAGAUACCACCACAAAAAACACCACAAACGUGAUGAGGAGCUUUCAGAAGAAGGGAGAGAGGAGCCAGAUGAAGAACGCAGCCAAGAGUCCUGGAGUCUGGGUGAUGGAAAGGAGAAGAGAGAUGAGGAUAUGAUGAGAGAUGAGGAUGAGAGAGAAAAGAGGAUUUGGAAACCAACUCACAGGUACCACCACAAGAAGCAUCACAAACGCAAUGGGGAUUCCUCAGAGGAGGAAGACGAGGAACAAAGGGGCGAUUCGGACGAACACGAGGAGGAGAAGAAGCAUGGAGAUGCCGAGGAGGACGAGAGACAGAGGGAUAGGCAGGAGGCUCUGAGGUACCUGGCAGAGAAGAGUCGUCUACUGGGGGAGGGCGAGGUGUAUGAGAAACGUUCUCCCUGGGCUUACAGAGGAUACUACCACCCCGCCUGGUGGAAGAGAAGCAUAGACCCACACACACCAUUGCAUAAGAUGGAGGAACUGGCGAAGUUGCUGUCCUAUAAGAAUCACCAGCUGGCCAGCCAAUCAGAGCUGGCAGACGAGGAAAAGAAGAGGAGCGUAUCUCUAACCCCAGAGGAGGAGAAGGAGCUGGAGAACAUAGCAGCUAUGGACAUGGAGUUACAGAAGAUAUCUGAGAAGAUGCAGGAGGACAGGAGUGAAUAGAUAAGACAGGCAGAGGCAUGCAGACAGGGAUGCUAAGAUACACAAGGUUAGCACACUGAGAUAGUAACAAAAGACUAGAGAGAGAGAUAGACUGACCCGUCAGUGUUCCGGACAAAAAACCACUAACAUCCAAGAGCCUUGCUGCAAAUUCUGCCGUGUUAACCUUUGUACCUGUGAAAUGC
Oncorhynchus tshawytscha (Chinook salmon) is the source of this 1455-nucleotide long non-coding RNA. NCBI's taxonomy places the organism in Eukaryota, Metazoa, Chordata, Actinopteri, Salmoniformes, Salmonidae. The record is from Ensembl.